GUUUAUAACAAAAAAGAUGAACAACAAACAACAAUGUUGGCGAGUAUGUGAAGAAACUGGAAAUAUCAUACAUUGCUGGUGCUGGCAAUUUGUGCAAUUUGUGCAAACGCAGGAGCAACUUCCUCUCAAUUAAGAUAAUGUGGAUUGAAACAAGUUUCUUGGAAUCCACAUGGGAGAACAGACAACCUACAUGCACUGACAACUUGUGAACAAGUCCAGUGUAGUCUCUUUGAAGAUAAGACCAUACGGAGAUACAGGCCUAAUCACG
Homo sapiens (human) is the source of this 268-nucleotide long non-coding RNA. RefSeq lists it as uncharacterized. NCBI's taxonomy places the organism in Eukaryota, Metazoa, Chordata, Mammalia, Primates, Hominidae. The transcript is spliced from 3 exons. The record is from RefSeq and is a predicted model, not a curated record.